CGGCGGACGGGUGAGUAACGCGUACGAAUCUACCUAGUAGUGGGGGAUAACAUGGUGAAAACCAUGCUAAUACCGCAUACGUCCUACGGGAGAAAGAGGGGGACCUUCGGGCCUCUUGCUAUUAGAUGAGCGUGCGUAAGAUUAGCUAGUUGGUGGGGUAAAGGCCUACCAAGGCGACGAUCUUUAGCUGGUCUGAGAGGAUGAUCAGCCACACUGGAACUGAGACACGGUCCAG
This 235-nucleotide ribosomal RNA is filed under the name uncultured bacterium. RNAcentral's name for it is "partial 16S ribosomal RNA". It matches the Rfam family "Bacterial small subunit ribosomal RNA", at positions 96 to 334 of the family's 1533-position model. The record is from RNAcentral.